This 253-nucleotide ribosomal RNA is filed under the name uncultured bacterium. RNAcentral describes it as "partial 16S ribosomal RNA". It matches the Rfam family "Bacterial small subunit ribosomal RNA", at positions 524 to 776 of the family's 1533-position model. The record is from RNAcentral.
UACGUAGGGUGCAAGCGUUGUCCGGAAUUAUUGGGCGUAAAGAGCUCGUAGGCGGUCUGUCACGUCGGCUGUGAAAUCCCGAGGCUCAACCUCGGGUCUGCAGUCGAUACGGGCAAACUAGAGUAUUGCAGGGGAGACUGGAAUUCCUGGUGUAGCGGUGAAAUGCGCAGAUAUCAGGAGGAACACCGGUGGCGAGGGCGGGUCUCUGGGCAAUAACUGACGCUGAGGAGCGAAAGCGUGGGGAGCGAACAGG